GGGGCAGUGCUGAGCACACUGAUUCUGAGGAGCACUGGCGUUAGUGAACGAUGACGGAAUCCUGCGCCAUCUUUGAUUUGACAUGUCAUGUGGUUGUGUAACAAUCGACUUUAACAGUUCUUUAAAUACAUCAUGCUUUAACAUCAUACCCUAAAACCCUAAAAGGCUAAAUUGCGAAAGAGACGUCAGUAAAUAAGAUGCCUCGGACGGGUUCUCGCGCUAUGACGAAACAACGUCGAGUUCUUUUGUUAAAAGAGAAUCUGGCGUAUGAGGUUAGCUUCCUCCCUCCAGUUUUAGGAAAGUUUGUUCCAUGCAAACACUCCCUUUUUUAGGUAAGGUGAGUUAUCUUUCCUGCCAAGAAAAAGAAAUCUGACAAAAAGCUUGUCAGAUUCCCAGAUGGCUUCACCUAAAAUGUCUCUUAAAGAACAAGACGAAGGAUAAAGGCCAGAUCAACCGAUAUUAAGUGGCACUCCUACGCUGCUCUCCGUUACAGCUCGCUCUCCUUGCCGCACGGGCACUGACGUCACUCACUUAAGGCUCCCUGGCCUUCUCGCUCUAACUUCCACUACUCUCGUCAGGGGGUGGCGGUUAACCGCCAAACCACGGUGAUACGUUGCUUCUUCACUACUAAGAAAAACUCUAUACCAUCACAGUCCUAGUGCUUAAUAGUCUAAUUUCAAUCAUGUCAGCUGUACUUCUAGGCCCUCCUAGUGUUGGAUAAUUUAAUCUACAAUAAAACAUAUUUUAUAAUCUACAUGUUUUAUGUUCAACAAUCUUGAUGUGUAAAGUAACUAAAGCUUGAUUUAGAGCUUGAAACGCUUUAAUGACCAUGUUUCAUUGGCCAGUUACUUGCACAGGUUAGUGCACGUCAGCGCACGGGUCCAUCAUGUGACAAACGCUAUGGAGCGUACCACAUGGCGUGUGUGCAUAUUUCGACAGUGUGACGGCAUAAGUGAAGAAAUACUACCUGUACAACAAGAUGCACAGGCAGCUAUCCCGCAGCUUUAGAAAAGGCGGUGUAGGCAGAGUUUGGACAUCCUUCCUCUACGACUGCCCUGUGGUCCAGCCGCACACGGAGCCGUGUGAAGUGACUUGUCUGGGAUUCUGCCGGAGCAGACUGGUCAGUUGCCUCACGGCGCCAGAGGACACAACGCCUGCUUCCUGAUAAAUCACGGGACAAAUCAAAACGGGGCGACAGAGCUCGCCUUCUGUCCCAUACUGAUAAGAGACGGCUUUGUGAAAACCAGAGAGACAUGUCGUAAAUCUUCUGGUGUCCCAAGUUGAGCAAAGAGUCCCAGCAAGUAGACGGCCACCAUGGGUAAGUACCUUCAUCUCACAAGUCCCUUGAAAGACAUCCAAUCCCACUAGUCCUCGUGCAGCGGCAGAGCAUGAUUGGGCACACACAGAGAGAUCUGGUUUCUGUGCCUGCAAAGUCCACAUGGAGUUGUAUCCAUGUUUGUGAGGCUUCACACUUAAAGCUGAAUGAAUGAAGAGUUCCCU
Etheostoma spectabile (orangethroat darter) is the source of this 1500-nucleotide long non-coding RNA. RefSeq lists it as uncharacterized. The record is from RefSeq and is a predicted model, not a curated record. NCBI's taxonomy places the organism in Eukaryota, Metazoa, Chordata, Actinopteri, Perciformes, Percidae. The transcript is spliced from 6 exons.